GCUACGGGAGGCUGCAGUGGGGAAUAUUUCGCAAUGGGCGAAAGCCUGACGCAGCGACGCCGCGUGAGGGAUGCAGGUCUUCGGAUCGUAAACCUCUGUCAGCAGGGAAGAACGGUCACUGUGCUAAUCAGCAGUGAAUUGACGGUACCUGCAAAGGAAGCACCGGCUAACUCCGUGCCAGCAGCCGCGGUAAUACGGAGGGUGCGAGCGUUACUCGGAAGUACUGGGCGUAAAGCGCUAGUAGGCGGUAUGUCAAGUCAAGGGUGAAAUCCCCGCGAUUAACGGGGGAACUGCCUUUGAGACUGGCAAACUGGAGUGUGUGAGAGGAUAGUGGAA
This 336-nucleotide ribosomal RNA is filed under the name uncultured bacterium. Its description in RNAcentral is "partial 16S ribosomal RNA". It matches the Rfam family "Bacterial small subunit ribosomal RNA", at positions 338 to 666 of the family's 1533-position model. The record is from RNAcentral.